RNAcentral lists this unclassified non-coding RNA (171 nucleotides) under soil metagenome. RNAcentral describes it as "partial contains 5.8S ribosomal RNA, internal transcribed spacer 2, and large subunit ribosomal RNA". The record is from RNAcentral.
AACGCACGAGACCUGCGGACCUGCGGAAGGAUCAUUAGCGUAGAGGAAAAGGGCGUGAGCUCUUUUCAUAUUUGCCCGUUUCUGAUGUUCGCAUCAGAUAAAUCGGCUCGAAUGCUAGUUGGCUGAGUGUGAUUGACAUUUAUGUAGUACAACUUUUAACAACGGAUCUCU